GCCGCCGUAGCUCAAUUGGUAGGGUAUCGGGUGAGUAAUCCGAAGGUUGCAGGUUCGGUCCCUGCCGGUGGCA
Non-coding RNA from Rhipicephalus sanguineus (brown dog tick), 73 nucleotides. The record is from the annotation of a RefSeq genome assembly. NCBI's taxonomy places the organism in Eukaryota, Metazoa, Arthropoda, Arachnida, Ixodida, Ixodidae.